GGCGUCAGUUGGGGACAAUCUUUUUCUUUGCAACUAUCACAAGAGUGCCAAUUAUAAAGGAGUGUGCGUUGGAUUGAUCCACGACCAAGCCUGCAAGCGUGUAUGCUUAGAAGAAAGCAGCGACAAUAUUGCCGGCGAGUGUAACUUUUUGAUGUGCUGGUGCCAUACCAGAUGCACCUCUGAGACUGUUGCUGCUGCUAGCGCUCCGAUCCCCGCCUGAACAAACCAUCCGAUCCAUGCAUCAUCCCGGCCGGCCCUCGUGUAAUAAUAGUAUAUAACACUGUAUGCUUGCAAGUUGUUUGUUUUCUUUUUUUCAGUAAUCUUAUCGGUGGAAAAUUAGAGAGAGUCAAAUCUCUCGAAUAUCCAACUGG
This 371-nucleotide long non-coding RNA is filed under the name Setaria italica (foxtail millet). RNAcentral describes it as "long non-coding RNA (SITA_LNC006288)". The record is from RNAcentral. Lineage: Eukaryota; Viridiplantae; Streptophyta; Magnoliopsida; Poales; Poaceae.